UGUAGAGUUCUUGCUCCCACAGCUGCCUCCCAGCCUGUGGGAAGUAAGACAAGUCAUUUUUCCUCAACUGUCUUUGACUUUCAAACAACAACCACUUGGAACUCAGUGUUCGUUCUUGACUUAGUUAGCUGUAACGCUGUUAUAAUCAGUUUAUGAAUAGUCGCGAGCAGGGGUGGAGCUUCACGCUGGCCAAUGGACAAAGGCUUAGAAUUGCAAAGAAUGAAGAGAUUCACGUGUCGUUCUUAGAUAUGAAUUGAAUGCCAGGAUACAAAAUGAUGACAGUCAUCUGUGACAACUAAUCACUCUGAUUGGCUGGUAGCUCGAGAAUCAGUGCAUGAAACAAAAGUUGACUCUGAGAAGAAAGCAAAUAAACAGCAAAGAAAAAAAGGCUUUAGGGACUAAAUUCAACUCAUCAAAACAUUGUGUUUUACUCUGAUUUGUUCCUCUUUAUAUUAUGAGUAUAUUGGGCAAGGUUCUGAAUGUGCGCGUAUUCAAUUUCAUGAAACUCUAACUUCGGAUGUUAUGAGCAACGAUGACUUUGCCAGGCAAAUCUCACAACCUCUGAGUUACUUGUGAAUUUACAAGUGUGU
Molecule: long non-coding RNA, 590 nt
Organism: Hippocampus comes (tiger tail seahorse)
Lineage: Eukaryota; Metazoa; Chordata; Actinopteri; Syngnathiformes; Syngnathidae
Exons: 3
Source: RefSeq, a predicted model, not a curated record